CAGCGCUACGAGUGGCAAUCAUGUUUAUUGGGCCUAAAGCGUCCGUAGCUGGUUUGGUAAAUCUUUUGUGAAAUUGCUCAGCUAAACUGAGCAGCGUGCAGAAGAGACUGCCAGACUUGGGACCGGGAGGGGUCAGAGGUAUUCCAUGGGGAGCGGUAAAAUGCUAUAAUCCAUGGAGGACCACCUGUGGCGAAGGCGUCUGACCAGAACGGAUCCGACAGUGAGGGACGAAAGCCAGGGGAGCAAACCGGAUUAGAUACCCGAGUAGUCC
This 271-nucleotide ribosomal RNA is filed under the name uncultured archaeon. RNAcentral's name for it is "partial 16S ribosomal RNA". It matches the Rfam family "Archaeal small subunit ribosomal RNA", at positions 477 to 747 of the family's 1478-position model. The record is from RNAcentral.